ACGUAGGCAGCGAGCGUUGUUCGGAGUUACUGGGCGUAAAGGGUGUGUAGGCGGUUGUUUAAGUUUGGUGUGAAAUCUCCCGGCUCAACUGGGAGGGUGCGCCGAAUACUGAAUGACUUGGAGUGCGGGAGAGGGAUGCGGAAUUCCAGGUGUAGCGGUGAAAUGCGUAGAUAUCUGGAGGAACACCGGUGGCGAAGGCGGCAUCCUGGACCAAUACUGACGCUGAGGAGCGAAAGCCAGGGGAGCAAACGGGA
This 254-nucleotide ribosomal RNA is filed under the name uncultured prokaryote. RNAcentral's name for it is "partial 16S ribosomal RNA". It matches the Rfam family "Bacterial small subunit ribosomal RNA", at positions 525 to 777 of the family's 1533-position model. The record is from RNAcentral.